RNAcentral lists this ribosomal RNA (222 nucleotides) under uncultured Streptococcus sp. RNAcentral describes it as "partial 16S ribosomal RNA". It matches the Rfam family "Bacterial small subunit ribosomal RNA", at positions 139 to 354 of the family's 1533-position model. The record is from RNAcentral. Lineage: Bacteria; Bacillati; Bacillota; Bacilli; Lactobacillales; Streptococcaceae.
CGGGAUAACUAUUGGAAACGAUAGCUAAUACCGCAUAAGAGUAGAUGUUGCAUGACAUUUGCUUAAAAGGUGCAAUUGCAUCACUACCAGAUGGACCUGCGUUGUAUUAGCUAGUUGGUGGGGUGACGGCUCACCAAGGCGACGAUACAUAGCCGACCUGAGAGGGUGAUCGGCCACACUGGGACUGAGACACGGCCCAGACUCCUACGGGAGGCAGCAGGC